This 434-nucleotide ribosomal RNA is filed under the name uncultured bacterium. RNAcentral's name for it is "partial 16S ribosomal RNA". It matches the Rfam family "Bacterial small subunit ribosomal RNA", at positions 29 to 507 of the family's 1533-position model. The record is from RNAcentral.
AGCGAUCGCUGGCGGCAGGCCUAACACAUGCAAGUCGAACGAACCUUUCGGGGUUAGUGGCGGACGGGUGAGUAACACGUGGGAACGUGCCUUUAGGUUCGGAAUAACUCAGGGAAACUUGUGCUAAUACCGAAUGUGCCCUUCGGGGGAAAGAUUAAUCGCCUUUAGAGCGGCCCGCGUCUGAUUAGCUAGUUGGUUGAGGUAAUGGCUCACCAAGGCGACGAUCAGUAGCUGGUCUGAGAGGAUGAUCAGCCACAUUGGGACUGAGACACGGCCCAAACUCCUACGGGAGGCAGCAGUGGGGAAUCUUGCGCAAUGGGCGAAAGCCUGACGCAGCCAUGCCGCGUGAAUGAUGAAGGUCUUAGGAUUGUAAAAUUCUUUCACCGGGGACGAUAAUGACGGUACCCGGAGAAGAAGCCCCGGCUAACUUCGUG